AUUGGCCCUUGACCAGCCUGAUUGGUUGCAGGAGGGGACCAAUCAGAGGUACCUCCCAUUUUUCAUCUGCAGCCCAAUGCAAAGUAAUGACAUGGAUCUGGAGAGAUUCUCUUAGGAGAGAAUCUGGCUAAGUGUCUAGCAGGAUGAUUGAUUAACAAGAUGUUUUGUUUUCAUCAUCUCAGAGAUAAGUACAACUAUUCUGUCAUCUAAUCUGCUAACUCCUACAUUAUCAAUACGCUGUAUUGAGGUAUAAUUGAUAUGCCAAAUAACUGGACACAUUCAACUUGUGCAAUUUGAUGAGUUUGGAGAUACACAUACAUCUGUGAAACCAUCACCAAAAUCAAGAACAACUUUCUCUGAUCUCUGUGGACAUGCUUAAAAUGGCUGACUCACACAGCAAGACUAUUUAACUGUGCCUAAAAUCAACCCACAUUCAGAUGCUAACUGUAAUCCUAUUCCCUGAUCCAUCAGGAAAAAGAGUCUGAUUGACAUAACUUGUCAAGUGUUCGCCCCAGCUUCUAUCAACUAUGGGGAAGGAAGGGCCAGAAGAGGUGUAACCAUCAUGGCUACCAGAGUACAUGGUUUCCAGGCCAAAUACCACAGUGUUCCAGGCAAGGAUGUGGUCAGUUUCCUUCUCUGCUGGAUCCCAAAGCCCAGGGCAGCUCUUGCACAUAGAUCGUUGUCAUUGGAUUUAAGAGGGCCUACCCUGAUAAUACAGGAUAAACUCCUUCUCCCAAAACCUUUUCUUCUCUCAGAAUCUUUUGGCAGCAAACACAUUCAAGCAUCUUCUAUGUGCCAAGAACUUGCUGGAAAACAUCACAAAAGUUAAUAUUUUCUGGAGAUCAAGGAAUGAAACUCAGCCCUCUGCAAAUGGAACACAAACGCCUGGUACAUGGAUGCUACAAUGAAAAGAAUAUGGGUGCUGAAAUCAGAGAGAAUCAUCCAAGAUGAUCCUUAUGCAUGCUGAACUCUGAGAGCCACCAGUGAAGAAGAUAAGUGACCCAUCUACCUGUAGCUGGAAAAUAAAGGCUCUUUGGGAUUCUUUCCCAUGAGUCUUCAUUUCACCAUAUUGGUGAGAGAAGGCAUUCAGGCCCAAUAAUUAACUGAACAUUAGCUGUGUACCAGACACUGUGGUCGACAUUGAGAUAUAACGGAUUUAAGAAAGUCUUUGUGGCUGUGGUGGCUUCAAAUCACUCCCGAGGCUUUAGAAGAAUAUAAUUGCCGUUCUAAGAAGAAUCUGAGGCCUCUAGGAGAUCUGCCAGUAGUGGCCCCAAUGUAUAACAGCACUAGCUCAGUGAAGAGAGAGAGAAAAGAUCUGAAGAGAGUGGUUGCAGUUUGAGCUCUGUCAAUGGGACAGUCCUGGGCAGGAGACUGGGGAGAAGAGGCGGCUUGCUGGUUUUCCUGAACCACUUCCACCCUGAAAGACUCCUUGCAUACAAUCAUCAGAGAAGAACCGUGGGAACCAAGAACCAUGAGCAGGAGAACCAUGAGCACACUGUUCGCAAUGGCCAAGAUUUGGAGGCAACCUAAGUGUCCAUCGACAGACAAAUGGUUAAAGAAAAUGAGGGAGGAGGAAAAAACCAUGGCUGCGGAGGUGAUUUAAUAUCCUGUUGACUCUGAAGAAAAAUACACUUCUUCAUUAUAAGAGUUUUAUUGCCAAUGACUAGAAGGAAAUGUAAAGGGGACAACACAAGAUGACUAACACAGGAAGUUAUAAAACUCACAGCUCUAACUGUCAUGGCCCUGGGCCCAUGGUGCCUGAAUCCCUCUGGGAGUAUUAAAUGGAAGGCCCCCUGGUACCUGAAUUUUGUUUUAGUUUUCUCUCUCCAUCUCUGUGAUUACACAUAAAAUCAGCCAAGCACCUGCUCCCCUCCAGCCUAGAUAACACAUACCUCCAUGCUAUAAAGGGACAAUUUGACCAAGAGACACCCACCUCACCUGACCACAGAGCUGGAAAAUCUACUAUGUCAGACUUCCAUGCAACCGCUGGUGGGAGAAAGUUUUCACGAGUCUCUCUGGGCCCUUAUCCCUCUCCCCUGUAUUCCCAUCCUUAUCCAAAUCCACAUUUCACCAAACUCCCUAACGCUAAGCAGCUGUUGAAGUUCAGAUCACAGUCUCUGAGGAGCUCCUGGUUUCCCAUGGAAUGUGAUUUGCCUCAUCAUCUUACAGCCUGCCUCCACUUUGCUUUCUUAUCAUUUCAGAGGCUU
This 2207-nucleotide long non-coding RNA is filed under the name Homo sapiens (human). RNAcentral describes it as "HSALNT0364360". Lineage: Eukaryota; Metazoa; Chordata; Mammalia; Primates; Hominidae. The record is from RNAcentral.